RNAcentral lists this ribosomal RNA (497 nucleotides) under uncultured bacterium. Its description in RNAcentral is "partial 16S ribosomal RNA". It matches the Rfam family "Bacterial small subunit ribosomal RNA", at positions 28 to 507 of the family's 1533-position model. The record is from RNAcentral.
GAUGAACGCUGGCGGCGUGCCUAAUACAUGCAAGUCGAGCGAACAGACGAGGAGCUUGCUCCUCUGAUGUUAGCGGCGGACGGGUGAGUAACACGUGGAUAACCUACCUAUAAGACUGGGAUAACUUCGGGAAACCGGAGCUAAUACCGGAUAACAUGUUGAACCGCAUGGUUCAACAGUGAAAGACGGUCUUGCUGUCACUUAUAGAUGGAUCCGCGCCGCAUUAGCUAGUUGGUAAGGUAACGGCUUACCAAGGCAACGAUGCGUAGCCGACCUGAGAGGGUGAUUGGCCACAUUGGCACAGAGACAGGGUCCAGACUCCUACGGGAGGCAGCAGUAGGGAAUCCUCCGCAAUGGGGGAAAGCCUGACGGAGCAAAGCCGCGGGAGUGAAGAAGGUGUUCGGAUGGUAAAACUCUGUUAUUAGUGAAGAACAAAUGUGUAAGUACCUAUGCACGUAUUGACGGUACCUAAUGAGAAAGCCACGGCUAACUACGUG